CCCUAUGGGGUGCAGCAGGCGAGAAAACUUUGCAAUGUGCGAAAGCACGACAAGGUUAAUCCGAGUGGUUUCUGCUAAAGGAACCUUUUGUCGGUCCUAGAAACACCGAUGAAUAAGGGGUGGGCAAGUUCUGGUGUCAGCCGCCGCGGUAAAACCAGCACCUCAAGUGGUCAGGAUGAUUAUUGGGCCUAAAGCAUCCGUAGCCGGCUCUGUAAGUUUUCGGUUAAAUCUGUACGCUUAACGUACAGGCUGCCGGGAAUACUGCAGAGCUAGGUAGUGGGAGAGGUAGACGGUACUCGGUAGGAAGGGGUAAAAUCCUUUGAUCUAUUGAUGACCACCUGUGGCGAAGGCGGUCUACCAGAACACGUCCGACGGUGAGGGAUGAAAGCUGGGGGAGCAAACCGGAUUAGAUACCCGGGUAGUCCCAGCUGUAAACUAUGCAAACUCAGUGAUGCAUUGGCUUGUGGCCAAUGCAGUGCUGCAGGGAAGCCGUUAAGUUUGCCGCCUGGGAAGUACGUACGCAAGUAUGAAACUUAAAGGAAUUGGCGGGGGAGCACCACAAGGGGUGAAGCCUGCGGUUCAAUUGGAGUCAACGCCAGAAAUCUUACCCGGAGAGACAGCAGAAUGAAGGUCAAGCUGAAGACUUUACCAGACAAGCUGAGAGGAGGUGCAUGGCC
This 677-nucleotide ribosomal RNA is filed under the name uncultured archaeon. RNAcentral's name for it is "bacterial SSU rRNA". It matches the Rfam family "Archaeal small subunit ribosomal RNA", at positions 321 to 999 of the family's 1478-position model. The record is from RNAcentral.